This 568-nucleotide ribosomal RNA is filed under the name Parasagitta setosa. RNAcentral describes it as "12S ribosomal RNA". The record is from RNAcentral. Lineage: Eukaryota; Metazoa; Chaetognatha; Sagittoidea; Aphragmophora; Sagittidae.
CCAUGAAAAAGAAAAAAUCAGAUAAAAAAGUUUUUUAUACAAGACAAAACUUUUUUGAGGUAAAAUACGUGCCAGCAACCGCGGUUAUACUUAUUGCUAAUAAGGAAUUAAUUAUUAUAUAAGAGAAUAUUCAGAAGGUAAUAUCAUUAUGAAGUUAGUAAAACUAGUUAUUGAAAAAAGGUUAGAUGCUUUGUACACUAGAAAUAUAUUUGAGCAGUAAAUAAACUUAAUAAACAUGGUAGGAUAUUCUUAAUUAAGGCUAAUUGAAUAUAUUAAGAUAACCCACUAUGUAAUUUUGAAAAAAAAAAUAGUGUAUUGCUGUAAAUUAAUUAAUAAAAUUAAUUAAGAAACCAAGCCUAAAUGCUUUUGCAAAAAUUUUUUUUUCUCUUUGAUUGACAGGGAUUAAAAAGUUAAACUUUUUUUUUGAAAUAUUGGAAAUCUGCACAUAUUGCCCGUCACCUCAGUUAUUAUCUGAGAAAGUCGACACAUAGUAGCUGUAUUGGAAAUUGCCUCUGAAUAAAUGGAGAAACGUAAAAUAAAGAAAAAUUGCCUCUUAUUAGUAAAGAGA